This 438-nucleotide ribosomal RNA is filed under the name uncultured bacterium. Its description in RNAcentral is "bacterial SSU rRNA". It matches the Rfam family "Bacterial small subunit ribosomal RNA", at positions 958 to 1397 of the family's 1533-position model. The record is from RNAcentral.
AACGCGAAGAACCUUACCUGGGCUUGAACCGCUACUGACCAACGGUGGAAACAUCGUCUUCUCGCAAGAGACAGUAGUAGAGGUGCUGCAUGGCUGUCGUCAGCUCGUGCCGUGAGGUGUUGGGUUAAGUCCCGCAACGAGCGCAACCCUUACUCUUAGUUGCCACCCGCAAGGGGGAACUCUAAGAGGACUGCUCCGGAUAACGGAGAGGAAGGUGGGGAUGACGUCAAGUCAGCACGGCCUUUAUGUCCAGGGCUACACACGUGUUACAAUGCACGGUACAGACUGUUGCGAACCCGCGAGGGGGAGCCAAUCGGAAAAACCGUGCUCAGUUCGGAUUGCAGUCUGCAACUCGACUGCAUGAAGCUGGAAUCGCUAGUAAUGCCGUAUCAGAACGACGGCGUGAAUACGUUCCCGGGCCUUGUACACACCGGCUAC